RNAcentral lists this ribosomal RNA (396 nucleotides) under Peribacillus simplex. Its description in RNAcentral is "bacterial SSU rRNA". It matches the Rfam family "Bacterial small subunit ribosomal RNA", at positions 1065 to 1460 of the family's 1533-position model. The record is from RNAcentral. Lineage: Bacteria; Bacillati; Bacillota; Bacilli; Caryophanales; Bacillaceae.
UCGUGAGAUGUUGGGUUAAGUCCCGCAACGAGCGCAACCCUUGAUUUUAGUUGCCAGCAUUCAGUUGGGCACUCUAAGGUGACUGCCGGUGACAAAACCGGAGGAAGGUGGGGAUGACGUCAAAUCAUCAUGCCCCUUAUGACCUGGGCUACACACGUGCUACAAUGGAUGGUACAAAGGGCUGCAAACCUGCGAAGGUAAGCGAAUCCCAUAAAGCCAUUCUCAGUUCGGAUUGCAGGCUGCAACUCGCCUGCAUGAAGCCGGAAUCGCUAGUAAUCGCGGAUCAGCAUGCCGCGGUGAAUACGUUCCCGGGCCUUGUACACACCGCCCGUCACACCACGAGAGUUUGUAACACCCGAAGUCGGUGAGGUAACCUUCAUGGAGCCAGCCGUCCUA